AUACGGAGGAUGCGAGCGUUAUCCGGAUUUAUUGGGUUCAAAGGGAGCGUAGGUGGGAUAUUAAGUCAGCUGUGAAAGUUUGGGGCUCAACCUUAAAAUUGCAGUUGAUACUGGUUUCCUUGAGUACGGUACAGGUGGGCGGAAUUCGUGGUGUAGCGGUGAAAUGCUUAGAUAUCACGAAGAACUCCGAUCGCGAAGGCAGCUCACCGGGCCGGAACUGACACUGAUGCUCGAAAGUGCGGGUAUCAAACAGGAUUAGAUACCCUGGUAGUCCGCACAGUAAACGAUGAAUACUCGCUGUUUGCGAUACACGGUAAGCGGCCAAGCGAAAGCGUUAAGUAUUCCACCUGGGGAGUACGCCGGCAACGGUGAAACUCAAAUGAAUUGACGGGG
RNAcentral lists this ribosomal RNA (393 nucleotides) under uncultured bacterium. Its description in RNAcentral is "partial 16S ribosomal RNA". It matches the Rfam family "Bacterial small subunit ribosomal RNA", at positions 523 to 918 of the family's 1533-position model. The record is from RNAcentral.